Molecule: long non-coding RNA, 203 nt
Filed under: Malus domestica (apple)
Lineage: Eukaryota; Viridiplantae; Streptophyta; Magnoliopsida; Rosales; Rosaceae
Description: long non-coding RNA (MDOM_LNC020691)
Source: RNAcentral
GUGUGGGUGAAGGGAACAAGAGGUAUCAAGCAAUUAAGUGUAAUAAUUAAAUGAAUUGAAGCAUGAAAUCAAAAAUUAUGUAGGGGACAAGAGUGAUCAAGCAUGGCAUGGGAAUCCAAAGGGAAUUCUAUGUUAUUUUGCAUGGCAAUGAAGGCAAGUUGGGGUGACAAAUUUUUGGGCUGAGUUCUUCAUCUUUUGGACCA